AGGAAUUGGCGGGGGAGCACCGCAACGGGAGGAGCGUGCGGUUUAAUUGGAUUCAACACCGGAAAACUCACCAAGGGCGACUGUUACAUGAAAGCCAGGCUAAUGACCUUGCUUGAUUUUCAGAGAGGUGGUGCAUGGCCGUCGUCAGUUCGUACCGUAAGGCGUUCUCUUAAGUGAGAUAACGAACGAGACCCUCAUCUAUAAUUGCUACUUCAUUCUCCGGAAUGGAGGCACAUUAUCGAGACCGCUGGCGCUAAGUCAGAGGAAGGAGAGGUCAACGGUAGGUCAGUAUGCCCCGAAUCUCUUGGGCUACACGCGCGCUACAAAGGGCGGGACAAUGGGCUACGACGCCGAAAGGCGAAGUCAAUCUCGAAACCCGUCCGUAGUUCGGAUUGAGGCUUGUAACUCAGCCUCAUGAAGCUGGAUUCCGUAGUAAUCGCGAAUCAAAAACUCGCGGUGAAUAUGCCCCUGCUCCUUGCACACACCGC
This 488-nucleotide ribosomal RNA is filed under the name uncultured archaeon. RNAcentral's name for it is "bacterial SSU rRNA". It matches the Rfam family "Archaeal small subunit ribosomal RNA", at positions 860 to 1349 of the family's 1478-position model. The record is from RNAcentral.